AGCGAACGUUAGCGGCGGGCCUAACACAUGCAAGUCGAACGCGAAAGGUCUUCGGACUGAGUAGAGUGGCGCACGGGUGAGUAACACGUAGGUAAUCUACCCUUUGGCGGGGGAUAACGUUCCGAAAGGAGCGCUAAUACCGCAUAAGACCACGGAGUCUCCGGACGCUGUGGGAAAAGGUGGCCUCUUCUUGAAAACUAUCACCGAAGGAUGAGCCUGCGUCCCAUCAGCUAGUUGGUAAGGUAAUGGCUUACCAAGGCGAAGACGGGUAGCUGGUUUGAGAGAAUGAUCAGCCACACUGGCACUGGAACACGGGCCAGACUCCUACGGGAGGCAGCAGUGAGGAAUAUUGGGCAAUGGGCGAAAGCCUGACCCAGCCACGCCGCGUGAGUGAUGAAGGCCCUCGGGUCGUAAAGCUCUGUGGAGAGGGACGAAAACCCUGGUUUCAAAUAGGCUCCAGGCUUGACGGUACCUCUUUAGCAAGCACCGGCUAACUCUGUGCCAGCAGCCG
Molecule: ribosomal RNA, 511 nt
Filed under: uncultured bacterium
Lineage: Bacteria
Description: bacterial SSU rRNA
Rfam family: Bacterial small subunit ribosomal RNA
Source: RNAcentral